CCUGAAUGAACCCUAAAUACUCGUUGCAAUUUAUCUCUCUAUUCCACGAGUGUGAAGGUGCUGAUGACUUUGCACCUCUAGGCUAGUUAUGGAAGAGUUCCUCGCAUCAGCAUCAUCAGCUGUCAUUGCUGGGUCUGAGAACCCUAUGUUUUUCCACUUCACACUUCAACUGAGCUGUGUAUGAAUUCCAUUGGGUGCCUUUGUUCGAUCUGUGUACAAAUUAGAAGAAUGGAAUGGAGCAAGCAACUGAAUGGUAAUUCCUCUUAAUUUUGUCUACGUGGCAAUCAUUACAAACAAUAGCAGCCAAAGUUUUUGUUGGGAAAUUGAUCCGUCCAAUUCACGUGUCAAAUUGUAGCAGCCAGAGACCAUCUGCUCUGUUUCAUUGCUCCAGCGUCACUGUCGUCAAUUGCGUCGGCGGUAAGGUUCGAUAUGUGGUGUGAAUUCAGGCAGGUUGUUAGGGAAAGUUGAAGUACUGUUAGAUUUAACGAGAACGGAAGUUAGGUCUGUGUUGUUUCAUAAUUUUGAAUCUCUUCUAUCAUUGAUAACGAUGCUAUUCUACCGCCCCUUCGGCAUGAAUCCAACGCAUACUUCACCGAUGAGAGUUGUGGAGCUUCAUGCUCACCAAAUGUUUGAUAAAAAGUUUCAGUAUAUUUCAGUAUAUUUCAAUGUAUUUCUAAUUUAUGAAACAGUUUCUGAUAUAUUUCAUUGUAUUCCAUUAUAUAUACGCAAACUACAAUUUUACAUUUCUUAAACAAUCAGCCAUAUUUCAUUGUAUUUCAGUGUAUAUUUUUCUGUAUUUGGAAGUAUUUAUAAAAGUUUGGAAUGGAGUAAUUU
This is a long non-coding RNA of Lycium barbarum (goji berry), 834 nucleotides long. RefSeq lists it as uncharacterized. The transcript has 3 exons. The record is from RefSeq and is a predicted model, not a curated record. NCBI's taxonomy places the organism in Eukaryota, Viridiplantae, Streptophyta, Magnoliopsida, Solanales, Solanaceae.